UACGGGGGGAGCAAGCGUUGUUCGGAUUUACUGGGCGUAAAGGGCGCGUAGGCGGCCUCCGCAAGUCAAUUGUGAAAUCUCCGAGCUUAACUCGGAAAGGUCAACUGAUACUGCGGGGCUAGAGUGCGGAAGGGGCAACUGGAAUUCUUGGUGUAGCGGUGAAAUGCGUAGAUAUCAAGAGGAACACCUGCGGCGAAGGCGGGUUGCUGGGCCGACACUGACGCUGGGGCGCGAAAGCUAGGGGAGCGAACGGG
This 254-nucleotide ribosomal RNA is filed under the name uncultured bacterium. RNAcentral describes it as "partial 16S ribosomal RNA". It matches the Rfam family "Bacterial small subunit ribosomal RNA", at positions 524 to 776 of the family's 1533-position model. The record is from RNAcentral.